This 421-nucleotide ribosomal RNA is filed under the name uncultured bacterium. RNAcentral describes it as "bacterial SSU rRNA". It matches the Rfam family "Bacterial small subunit ribosomal RNA", at positions 355 to 773 of the family's 1533-position model. The record is from RNAcentral.
UGGGGAAUAUUGGACAAUGGGGGCAACCCUGAUCCAGCCACGCCGCGUGAGUGAUGAAGGCCUUCGGGUCGUAAAGCUCUGUGGGGAGGGACGAACGUCCGGGUGAAGAAUCCGGGGUGACGGUACCUCCUUAGCAAGCACCGGCUAACUUCGUGCCAGCAGCCGCGGUAAUACGAAGGGUGCAAACGUUGCUCGGAAUCAUUGGGCGUAAAGCGCACGUAGGCGGCCCAGCAAGUUGGAUGUGAAAUCCCUCGGCUCAACCGAGGACGUGCAUCCAAAACUGCUGGGCUUGAGUACUGAAGAGGAUCGCGGAAUUCCCGGUGUAGAGGUGAAAUUCGUAGAUAUCGGGAGGAACACCAGUGGCGAAGGCGGCGAUCUGGGCAGAUACUGACGCUGAGGUGCGAAAGCGUGGGGAGCAAAC